RNAcentral lists this ribosomal RNA (658 nucleotides) under Paenibacillus sp. RNAcentral describes it as "bacterial SSU rRNA". It matches the Rfam family "Bacterial small subunit ribosomal RNA", at positions 115 to 760 of the family's 1533-position model. Lineage: Bacteria; Bacillati; Bacillota; Bacilli; Caryophanales; Paenibacillaceae. The record is from RNAcentral.
ACGUAGGCAACCUGCCCACAAGACAGGGAUAACUACCGGAAACGGUAGCUAAUACCCGAUACAUCCUUUUCCUGCAUGGGAGAAGGAGGAAAGGCGGAGCAAUCUGUCACUUGUGGAUGGGCCUGCGGCGCAUUAGCUAGUUGGUGGGGUAAAGGCCUACCAAGGCGACGAUGCGUAGCCGACCUGAGAGGGUGAUCGGCCACACUGGGACUGAGACACGGCCCAGACUCCUACGGGAGGCAGCAGUAGGGAAUCUUCCGCAAUGGGCGAAAGCCUGACGGAGCAACGCCGCGUGAGUGAUGAAGGUUUUCGGAUCGUAAAGCUCUGUUGCCAGGGAAGAACGUCUUGUAGAGUAACUGCUACUAAAGUGACGGUACCUGAGAAGAAAGCCCCGGCUAACUACGUGCCAGCAGCCGCGGUAAUACGUAGGGGGCAAGCGUUGUCCGGAAUUAUUGGGCGUAAAGCGCGCGCAGGCGGCUCUUUAAGUCUGGUGUUUAAUCCCGAGGCUCAACUUCGGGUCGCACUGGAAACUGGGGAGCUUGAGUGCAGAAGAGGAGAGUGGAAUUCCACGUGUAGCGGUGAAAUGCGUAGAGAUGUGGAGGAACACCAGUGGCGAAGGCGACUCUCUGGGCUGUAACUGACGCUGAGGCGCGAAAAG